RNAcentral lists this ribosomal RNA (253 nucleotides) under uncultured bacterium. RNAcentral's name for it is "partial 16S ribosomal RNA". It matches the Rfam family "Bacterial small subunit ribosomal RNA", at positions 524 to 776 of the family's 1533-position model. The record is from RNAcentral.
GACGAACCGUGCGAACGUUGUUCGGAAUCACUGGGCUUAAAGGGCGCGUAGGCGGGCUGUCAAGUCAGUGGUGAAAGCCUCCGGCCCAACCGGAGAAGAGCUGUUGAUACUGAUGGCCUGGAGGGGUGUAGGGGUCUGCGGAACUUCGGGUGGAGCGGUGAAAUGCGUAGAGAUCCGAAGGAACGCCGGUGGCGAAAGCGGCGGACUGGACACCUUCUGACGCUGAGGCGCGAAAGCCAGGGGAGCAAACGGG